This 478-nucleotide ribosomal RNA is filed under the name uncultured organism. Its description in RNAcentral is "partial 16S ribosomal RNA". It matches the Rfam family "Bacterial small subunit ribosomal RNA", at positions 331 to 800 of the family's 1533-position model. The record is from RNAcentral.
GUACACUCCUGCGGGAGGCAGCAGUGGGGAAUUUUGGACAAUGGGCGAAAGCCUGAUCCAGCAAUGCCGCGUGCAGGAUGAAGGCCUUCGGGUUGUAAACUGCUUUUGUACGGAACGAAAAAGCUCCUUCUAAUACAGGGGGCCCAUGACGGUACCGUAAGAAUAAGCACCGGCUAACUACGUGCCAGCAGCCGCGGUAAUACGUAGGGUGCGAGCGUUAAUCGGAAUUACUGGGCGUAAAGCGUGCGCAGGCGGUUAUGUAAGACAGAUGUGAAAUCCCCGGGCUCAACCUGGGAACUGCAUUUGUGACUGCAUGGCUAGAGUACGGUAGAGGGGGAUGGAAUUCCGCGUGUAGCAGUGAAAUGCGUAGAUAUGCGGAGGAACACCGAUGGCGAAGGCAAUCCCCUGGACCUGUACUGACGCUCAUGCACGAAAGCGUGGGGAGCAAACAGGAUUAGAUACCCCUGUAGUCCCAUGA